UCCUCCGUAGUGUAACCGGCAGCACAACGGUCUUUGGAACCGCAAGCCCAAGUUCGAACCUUGGCGGAGGAA
RNAcentral lists this transfer RNA (72 nucleotides) under Bifidobacterium pseudolongum subsp. globosum. Its description in RNAcentral is "tRNA-Gln". It matches the Rfam family "tRNA". From Rfam's summary of the family: Transfer RNA (tRNA) molecules are approximately 80 nucleotides in length. Lineage: Bacteria; Bacillati; Actinomycetota; Actinomycetes; Bifidobacteriales; Bifidobacteriaceae. The record is from RNAcentral. RNAcentral also lists the same sequence under 1 other name.